Molecule: long non-coding RNA, 211 nt
Organism: Arabidopsis thaliana (thale cress)
Lineage: Eukaryota; Viridiplantae; Streptophyta; Magnoliopsida; Brassicales; Brassicaceae
Product: other RNA
Exons: 1
Source: RefSeq
AGAUAAAUUCAUCGGGCGGUCCCUAUAUAUUCUGCUCUUUUGAUUGCUAUCAAAGAUUGUGUCGUAGCGAAGACUGGUCCUAAUGCUUGGGAGGCCUAAAGCAAAUCACUAAAUAUGUGGUCUUCUCGUAAAAGAAUUUGUAUAUGUAUUUGUUUUUUUUACUUAUAUAUUUUGAGCUGUAUCAAGGAUGGUGUCAGAAUCAUUCAUGUGA